GAUGAACGCUGGCGGCGUGCUUAACACAUGCAAGUCGAACGGUGAAGGCGGAGCUUGCUCUGCUGGAUCAGUGGCGAACGGGUGAGUAACACGUGAGCAAUCUGCCCCUGACUCUUGGAUAAGCGCUGGAAACGGCGUCUAAUACUGGAUACGAGCUGCGAAGGCAUCUUCAGCAGCUGGAAAGAACUUCGGUCAGGGAUGAGCUCGCGGCCUAUCAGCUUGUUGGUGAGGUAACGGCUCACCAAGGCGUCGACGGGUAGCCGGCCUGAGAGGGUGACCGGCCACACUGGGACUGAGACACGGCCCAGACUCCUACGGGAGGCAGCAGUGGGGAAUAUUGCACAAUGGGCGAAAGCCUGAUGCAGCAACGCCGCGUGCGGGACGACGGCCUUCGGGUUGUAAACCUCUUUUAGCAGGGAAGAAGCGAAAGUGACGGUACCUGCAGAAAAAGCGCCGGCUAACUACGUG
This 468-nucleotide ribosomal RNA is filed under the name uncultured bacterium. RNAcentral describes it as "partial 16S ribosomal RNA". It matches the Rfam family "Bacterial small subunit ribosomal RNA", at positions 28 to 507 of the family's 1533-position model. The record is from RNAcentral.